RNAcentral lists this ribosomal RNA (457 nucleotides) under uncultured bacterium. Its description in RNAcentral is "bacterial SSU rRNA". It matches the Rfam family "Bacterial small subunit ribosomal RNA", at positions 518 to 974 of the family's 1533-position model. The record is from RNAcentral.
CGGUAAUACGGAGGGUGCAAGCGUUAAUCGGAAUUACUGGGCGUAAAGCGCACGCAGGCGGUUUGUUAAGUCAGAUGUGAAAUCCCCGGGCUCAACCUGGGAACUGCAUUUGAAACUGGCAAGCUAGAGUCUCGUAGAGGGGGGUAGAAUUCCAGGUGUAGCGGUGAAAUGCGUAGAGAUCUGGAGGAAUACCGGUGGCGAAGGCGGCCCCCUGGACGAAGACUGACGCUCAGGUGCGAAAGCGUGGGGAGCAAACAGGAUUAGAUACCCUGGUAGUCCACGCUGUAAACGAUGUCGAUUUGGAGGUUGUGCCCUUGAGGCGUGGCUUCCGGAGCUAACGCGUUAAAUCGACCGCCUGGGGAGUACGGCCGCAAGGUUAAAACUCAAAUGAAUUGACGGGGGCCCGCACAAGCGGUGGAGCAUGUGGUUUAAUUCGAUGCAACGCGAAGAACCUUAC